ACAGUUAAGUAUCUUUUUCCCCUAAAAAUUGUUCCUUUACACUAUAGCUUUUUAUAACCUUCCUCUUCUUCUAACUAAAUUUACACUUGUUUCUUGACAUUGUAGUGAAUUUUAUUGGAUUUUGCUUUUCUUUGUGGUGUAUUUCAGUUGGCAGUUUUAUUUUCCCUUUAUGGAGUUUGGUUGGUCCAGCUGAUGAGUUACUUUAAUUCGGAAGGUUAUUCAAUCAUUAGACUUCAGCCGACAGUAGAUUAAUUAAUUUAUUUAUAAUAAUACUCCGUAUGAUAAAAGUUUGAAAACAUCUGCAUUAUUGUGUUAAGAGUGUGGCUUAAUUUAUAUAUAUCUGAGAUAACUUUUCAAGAUUCUCUUAAUUCCCUAUUUUGACACGUAUUGUUAUUGAGAAUUUUACCUACAUGUUCCUCCUUUUUGCAAACUUGGUCAUUUUCUUGUUUUGUUUAUCAUUAGUGAAAAUGGUUUGUCAGUAGUUUUGAUUUUGAGGUACAUAAUCUGCACAUCUUUUACAUUUUGUGUUGAAAACUGAGGUAUGGUUGGUUGGAUCUUGUUAAAUGUUUCGAUUUUGUUUUAUUGGAUUUGAUGUGAUGAAAAUCUUGGAGUAGCUAGGUGGAUGGAUGAGCAUGAAAAUGAGGUGAUUAAGAUCUUGGCGCAGACUAAAAGCUAAAUUGUAACUUUCCUUCACAUUUUGUGACGUUGUUGUUAACUCAGGUCAAGAAUUUAGAGGCAAAAAUUGAAUUGUGUGAUGGAAUCAUCAUCAUCAUCAUCGUCAUCAAAGAGGGCCAAGGCACCAGGGAAUAUAGCUCAUUGCUUGGUUGAUGGGUGUAAUGCAGACCUCAGUGAAUGCAGAGAGUAUCAUCGCCGGCAUAAAGUUUGUGAGGUGCAUUCAAAGACUGCCAAAGUCACCAUUGCAGGUCGAGACCAACGCUUCUGUCAGCAAUGCAGCAGGUAAUGCCUCUUCUUCUCUGACUCAUUUUGUUGUCGUCUUAGACCAUAAUGCAGGGGCAGAGCUAAGUGGGUUGGACGAACCCAGUAACUUUUUGUACACCCUGUAUUUGUAUAAGAAUAUUAAAUAAAUAUAUGUGUAUGUAUAUUAACUUGUUCACCCCUAACAAAAGGAGCCGUGGAAAUGCUUUCCACGCUAGAACUCCUAAUUCUGGCGCCGCCUAUGCCCUAAUGCAUUCAAAUAAGUGAUACCGUGGAUCAAGUAAGGAAUCAAGCAGUCAUGAAAGGCAGGUUCUGUUUACUCCAUGUUCGUUGCGUUGGAGACAAUUGUUCGGUUAAAAAUUGAAAUUUCUCUGUGUAAGGGAAAAUGUCUAGUUGUUCAAUAUUUGGAAGAGCACAUUAAUUAGGAAGGUUAACUGAAACUUGAAUGGAUAGUAUGACAAUCUGGUGGCAUGUUGCUCUUCCCUUAGUUCCUACGCUUUCCAAGCUAUGUUACUUAUAUUUUAACGUAAUUAACGUUAAGUUCCAAGCUAGUAAACAAUUUUAAUGUAAUAGAGUUGGUGACAAGGUUUGUUCCGUUUAAAUGUUGGAAUUCCUCGUAAAGGCUAGAAAAUGAGCAAACUAAGAUGUUCAAUCCUCGGAAGAAGCGUAAAUUAGAAGAGUCAAGUGCAUUUAUUUAUGCCUGUAUAGAAUAACGACGUUCUUCUUUCUCCCAAAGUUAGACUUGUGACUUUGUUCUUGACCCUUGGUACACCAGAUAGUUCGGAAGAUUGUAAUUAGAGAGGUGUCUAGAUUGGCAUAGAAGGUCAUCUAGAUAGUGAGCUAAAAUUUUAGUGCUAGGAUUAAACCUAUUAAAAUAGAUCAUGAUCUUAAUUCUUAAUUAGAAUUCACUUGUCUCCAUUUCUUUCUGCCAACGUGAAGCUCAGCUUAACGAGUUCUGGCAUGUAGAGGAGUAUUGGUGUUUGAUGCAUUGCUUUCAAUUCUAAGAGUCAGAAUUUUUCCCUUUAUAAUGUAAUGUAAUGAUACCUAGAAGAAAUCUUCUGCUUUAUCAGCAAUUUAGAAUAGAAGUUGCUAGUUAGUCCUGUCCUAAAUGAUUGUCUGCCUUAGUUGUGCGGACUCUUCACUUUUGAUGCCGCACCCGUCUCGGAUUCUUCAAAAAUACACUACUUUUGGCGAAUCCGACAUGCACCCGUUGCCAUUUUUGAAGAGUCCGAGCAACAUAGUAAUGUCUGCUUGUUUAUUUUUCAGAUAGUAGCUUAGAUAAUUGAAGCUUUGACUAUAAGGUUUCUGCAGUUGUCCCAUCCCCAAUAAAUUUAUGUUACAGCAUUGUCUCAUUCUGAUUGGAUCCUUU
RNAcentral lists this long non-coding RNA (2305 nucleotides) under Solanum tuberosum (potato). RNAcentral's name for it is "long non-coding RNA (STUB_LNC005558)". The record is from RNAcentral. Lineage: Eukaryota; Viridiplantae; Streptophyta; Magnoliopsida; Solanales; Solanaceae.